This 551-nucleotide ribosomal RNA is filed under the name Stenotrophomonas sp. 512(2010). Its description in RNAcentral is "bacterial SSU rRNA". It matches the Rfam family "Bacterial small subunit ribosomal RNA", at positions 33 to 573 of the family's 1533-position model. The record is from RNAcentral. Lineage: Bacteria; Pseudomonadati; Pseudomonadota; Gammaproteobacteria; Lysobacterales; Lysobacteraceae.
ACGCUGGCGGUAGGCCUAACACAUGCAAGUCGAACGGCAGCACAGGAGAGCUUGCUCUCUGGGUGGCGAGUGGCGGACGGGUGAGGAAUACAUCGGAAUCUACUUUUUCGUGGGGGAUAACGUAGGGAAACUUACGCUAAUACCGCAUACGACCUACGGGUGAAAGCAGGGGAUCUUCGGACCUUGCGCGAUUGAAUGAGCCGAUGUCGGAUUAUCUAGUUGGCGGGGUAAAGGCCCACCAAGGCGACRAUCCGUAGCUGGUCUGAGAGGAUGAUCACCCACACUGGAACUGAGACACGGUCCACACUCCUACGGGAGGCAGCAGUGGGGAAUAUUGGACAAUGGGCGCAAGCCUGAUCCACCCAUACCGCGUGGGUGAARAAGGCCUUCGGGUUGUAAAGCCCUUUUGUUGGGAAAGAAAUCCAGCUGGUUAAUACCCGGUUGGGAUGACGGUACCCAAAGAAUAAGCACCGGCUAACUUCGUGCCAGCAGCCGCGGUAAUACGAAGGGUGCAAGCGUUACUCGGAAUUACUGGGCGUAUAGCGUGCGUA